CACGCCAUAAACGAUGAGAACUAGACGUUGAGAGGGUCAGCCUCCCAGUGUCGUAGCUAACGCGCUAAGUUCUCCGCCUGGGGAGNCAACGCGAAGAACCUUACCUGGUCUUGACAUCCUGGGAAGUCUGCAGAGAUGCGGAUGUGCCUUCGGGAACCCAGAGACAGGUGC
Molecule: ribosomal RNA, 171 nt
Filed under: uncultured bacterium
Lineage: Bacteria
Description: partial 16S ribosomal RNA
Rfam family: Bacterial small subunit ribosomal RNA
Source: RNAcentral